UCAGGACUAAAAACAAGCAUUUAGAAAAUAGGCCCCAAGACUGUGGGUCCAUUAUUUCCUCUACACAUUUUAAUUUAUUUACUUACUUAUUUAUCUAUAUUCCUUUCAGGUGUAUGCAAAAUAUGAAAAUGAAAGGAAAUUGUUCAGACCUGGGGAGUAAUAAGCUUAUUCUAAUUAUUCUCCCUGCAUCUGGGCAGAACAAAAUCUAGCAUCCACUGAGCCCCACUGGGACCAAUUUGCAGCCCCAGCAGGUGUAUCCAAUUGGUAUAAAUUAGCUAUGGCAUAACAGUAGACCUUUGCUUGAUACAGCAGGAGUUCUGAAGCUGAGGUUUGCAAGGGAGAAGUACAAGUGGAGCAAGGCAGGGGGCACUGGAGCUGUUGACAUCUCAAGUAUUUAAACUAGAAGCAUUUCCAGCGAAGUUGUUCAUAGUGACAUCAAUUACCACUAAUGCCCAAUCUGCAUCUGAUUUUGGAUGCAGCUCCAGCCACUCUGCAAAGCAAUGUUGCUGAGAACUUCAUAUCAAUCUGCUUUUUUAUAUCCUUGCCAGAAGCUGCCAUUCUAGGAGGGAAAUGUCGAGGACACUCAGUCUGCAAUGCAAAUAUAUAUUUAAUCACUUCCUACCUGGUUUAGAAAUUUACAAAAGAAUCAUUAUCCCUAGAAAAUCUCCCUUCAACCCAGGAAUCGACUCCUCAUAGUUGCUCACAGAUCUGUGGGGGAUGACAGGCAGGGGUGCCAGUUCCAGCUGAGCAGCCCCUUGAUCACUCUGUGAGUUGACACGUGGAAAAAUUGUAAAUGCUCUUCUGCUCACCU
Lacerta agilis (Sand lizard) is the source of this 811-nucleotide long non-coding RNA. RefSeq lists it as uncharacterized. The transcript has 3 exons. Lineage: Eukaryota; Metazoa; Chordata; Lepidosauria; Squamata; Lacertidae. The record is from RefSeq and is a predicted model, not a curated record.